Long non-coding RNA from Oryctolagus cuniculus (rabbit), 1718 nucleotides. The record is from Ensembl. NCBI's taxonomy places the organism in Eukaryota, Metazoa, Chordata, Mammalia, Lagomorpha, Leporidae.
CCUCGCAGGCCCGGUAAGUGCCCGCCGGGCGGCCCCGGUCCUCGCGUCUCCAGGCGGGGCAGGCGCGUUGGCGUCCGACCCGCGGCUUCUUGCGUGAGGACCGGCUGCCCACGUUCCUCAGUUUCCCCGCCCAGGGGCGCCCUGACCGCUGAGUCCAGGGAGCGGGCUGACCUGCGCUGACCGCCUUUGCCGGUAGCUCGGUUUCUUUGGGGUCCCGGGUUGCGGGCGGCCGGGCGCGUGGUGGACAGGGGGCAGAGGGCACCGCCUGGGUCUCACGCCCUCCCGGAAGGGGCCGAGGUUCCGGGAGUUCCCUCCGCUCAGCUGGAGGGGCCGAAGGAAUCCCCCCGGAUCGGGGUGCGUAGAGGGGCCGCGGAACCGGCGUGGCUGGAGGGCCGAGCCCCAAACUCUGGCCCGGCAGUUGCCUGCGAUCCCCCGGCGGGCGGCCCCCAGCAGACCUGAGAAGGGAAGGGGCUGGCGGCCUCCAACCCUCCGUGUGGCAGCCCCUGGGCUCUGGCAGUGGGAUGUACUAGUGAAGCCAUCCCGGAGGGUCUCUUCCUGGGACGGAGACAGACUGUCCAGGUUGCUCGCGGUUUCUCAGGUGGGUUUCGUGGGCUUUAGGAAAUUGAUCGGUUGCUUCUGCACGUUUACUUCGCAGUGUGGGGGCAGCACGAGUUCUGUGUUGGUGCUCCUGGGCUGCGUGGCAAGUCCCGCAGGCUGACUGUCAAGGAAUGGACGUGUUCUCACGGUUCUGGGCCUGGGAGGUGGGGUCGGGGUGCUGGCGGGGGCGGGCUGUCUUGCCGGCUGGCAGACGGUCCAGGGCCCUGCUGUCUCUUCCUGUGACGGUGUGGGUUGUAUCAGGCGAACCCCGGGCACCUCCUCCGUGGAGGCCGGGGCGGGGCUUAGGUCAGCCCUCAGCAGCAUCCCCUUGCUUGCCUCCUCACGCCUGCGGCACGUGCGGCGGUGCGGCGCCCUCUUAUUCCUGAUUUGGGCAACUCGCGUCUCCUCCAUUUCUUGGCUGGUGUUGGCUAGGGGUUUAUCAAUGUUGCGGAUCCUUUCAAAGAGGCAGCUUUUGGUUUCAUUGAUUUUUCCCUACAAUUUUAUGCUUUAGAUUUUGUACUUCUCAUUAUUUCUCUGCUUCUGCCUGACUCUUGGUUCCACGAGGUCUACUUUUCCUACGUGAACACUCAGUGCUGUCAGUUUCCGCAGAGUCCUGUUUAGUUGAAUCCCACAAAGUCUGAUGUGUUUGCAUUUUCAUUUUCCUACAAUUAAAAUAUUUUAAAAAUUUCUUUGAGACUUUUCUCUUUGAGCCACGGUUAUGUACAAGUAAGUGGCUUUCCAAAUAUUUGGAGUUUUUCCAGAUAUCCUUAUAGUUUAAUUCCUUUGUGUCGGAGAACAUGCUUUGUCUGAGUUCUGUUUUUUGAAGGUUUGUGAGGAGUGUUCUGAGCUGCAGGGCGUGGUCUCCCGGUGAGUGUUCCCCCUGCAGGGGGAGGGGGUGUUCUGAGCUGCAGGCCGUGGUCUCCCUGUGAGUGUUCCCCCUACAGGGGGAGGGGUUCUGCAGGGCGUGGUCUCCCUGUGAGUGUUCCCCCUACAGGGGGAGGGGUUCUGCAGGGCGUGGUCUCCCUGUGAGUGUUCCCCCUGCAGGGGGAGGGGUUCUGCAGGGCGUGGUCUCCCUGUGAGUGUUCCCCCUGCAGGGGGAGGGGUUCUGCAGGGCGUGGUCU